GAUGAACGCUGGCGGCGUGCCUAAUACAUGCAAGUCGAGCGAACGGACGAGAAGCUUGCUUCUCUGAUGUUAGCGGCGGACGGGUGAGUAACACGUGGAUAACCUACCUAUAAGACUGGGAUAACUUCGGGAAACCGGAGCUAAUACCGGAUAAUAUUUUGAACCGCAUGGUUCAAAAGUGAAAGACGGUCUUGCUGUCACUUAUAGAUGGAUCCGCGCUGCAUUAGCUAGUUGGUAAGGUAACGGCUUACCAAGGCAACGAUGCAUAGCCGACCUGAGAGGGUGAUCGGCCACACUGGAACUGAGACACGGUCCAGACUCCUACGGGAGGCAGCAGUAGGGAAUCUUCCGCAAUGGGCGAAAGCCUGACGGAGCAACGCCGCGUGAGUGAUGAAGGUCUUCGGAUCGUAAAACUCUGUUAUUAGGGAAGAACAUAUGUGUAAGUAACUGUGCACAUCUUGACGGUACCUACUCAGAAAGCCCCGGCUAACUACGUG
This 497-nucleotide ribosomal RNA is filed under the name uncultured bacterium. RNAcentral's name for it is "partial 16S ribosomal RNA". It matches the Rfam family "Bacterial small subunit ribosomal RNA", at positions 28 to 507 of the family's 1533-position model. The record is from RNAcentral.